AUGACAUGGAUCUGGAGAGAUUCUCUUAGGAGAGAAUCUGGCUAAGUGUCUAGCAGGAUGAUUGAUUAACAAGAUGUUUUGUUUUCAUCAUCUCAGAGAGCUGUAUUGAGGUAUAAUUGAUAUGCCAAAUAACUGGACACAUUCAACUUGUGCAAUUUGAUGAGUUUGGAGAUACACAUACAUCUGUGAAACCAUCACCAAAAUCAAGAGAAAGUGGACUAUGAACAAUCGAAAGAAAG
Molecule: long non-coding RNA, 239 nt
Filed under: Homo sapiens (human)
Lineage: Eukaryota; Metazoa; Chordata; Mammalia; Primates; Hominidae
Description: non-protein coding lnc-FAT3-5:11
Source: RNAcentral